This is a long non-coding RNA of Bos indicus x Bos taurus (hybrid cattle), 1856 nucleotides long. NCBI's taxonomy places the organism in Eukaryota, Metazoa, Chordata, Mammalia, Artiodactyla, Bovidae. The record is from Ensembl.
GACUACUCCGGGCCAGGCUGGAGGGGGCCUCUCCAGGACAGACCCUUCCCGUGGAACAGCAGAGCCCUUCUCUCAAAGUCUCACCAGUCAACGCCCCAGGGGAAGCUGUUCCAGUCAAGGCCUUUCUACCCUGAGAGCCUGCCCCCCAGGGUCCAUGGUGGGAGGGGAGCCUUGCAUGGAUCCUGGGAGGCAGAAGGGCUGCUUUGGAGGAAGGGGAGCUGGUCCUCUCCUUGCCUGCCCCCACCUCCCCGGGGAGCCCCCUUCCGGCCCCUGCCCUGGGCCUCCAGCGGAACCCAGGCCAUGACUCGGGGCAGGGCCGCUGGAGGGCCGCCCAGACCCUCUGCAGCCAUGGCUACCCAGAGCGGUCGCCCACUUCAAGCCCAGCUCGGAGGCCUCAGUCCUGGAGGGAGGGACCUGGACUGGAGGAAGAAGUGCCGACCGACGCAGAGACAGAACCAGAGUGCUCUUCGCCAGAGCAGCCGCACCCAAGGUCAAGAGUGGGAAUGGCCGCCAGCACCGGGGGUCUGGAGCCCCUUGGUCAGGGAAGAGGACACAGGCAGCCCCCGGUCCUGGACUCAUCCCUGGACGGGCCCAGGCAGCGCCCUCUAGAGUCCACCUGGGCUCUGGCGGACUGAAGCCCGGCCCUGAGAUGACCCUCAGGCCGGCGGGCUCCCAGUCCCUCGGCCAUUCUGCUCCUGAUGACCUGAUGUCCCUGGUCGUGCUCAGGGCUUUCCUGCCCUAGGCUGGGGUCUCUCCAUGCCCGUGGCUGCGAGGGCCCCCUCCCGCCACCCCCUGCCCAGAAGCCCAGGGCACCCAGGACAGGGCCGCUACCCUGACGCCCCAGGAGGGCCUCUGGGCCCGGGGGCUGAAGGGGAAUUGGUCCUGGCUGUUCCUGCCCAUGCCCUCAUCCCUCGACCGCCGCCGGGGCACACCGUCCCUGGGCAUGCAGGGACCGACUGCAGUUCUAAAUCGAAAGGGAAGGCAGCUUGUUUUUUUUUUUUUUUUUUUUAAAAAAAAAAAAAAAAAAACCUUUGCAACUGUUUCUUUAAGCAGCAAAUUAAUCCUGUUUUCUCAUGGGUUUGAUUUCAUGGCACCCCACCACGUCCGCCCGUCCCAUGCCACCACGCCCACCCCUCUGCGUGCCAGCCCUUCCAGGAGCCAAGAGUCAGGACCCACACCAAGAGUCACCCUGCACAGUAUCUGGGGUGCCCCCCAUGAUGUCGGACCCUCAGCUCCGUCCCUCACCAGCCACACCCCCGGAAGGCUGGGCACAGUGGCUGCAGGAAGGAGGUCGAUGUCUUCUCCAGCCCUUGGAGCCCCACGGGGUCUGUGACCUGGCCGCGCAGGGCAGUGUGAUUCUGGACACCGGCGCAGACCCUAAGCAGGCCUGGGCUUCCCGGUGGGGGCCUGCCUGGGCAUCUGGGGUGGUGGGGUCCCUGGGAUGACCAACGUCUGUGCCCCCUCAGUCCCUGCGCCCCCUCCCCAUGGGCCUCCGGACUCCACUGCCCAUAAAGCACACCACACAGGCCCCCCUCAUGCCACCUGCCAGGCUGUCGUUGGGCUUGGGGGGCGGUGUGAGGGGCAGAGCAAACCCUUCUGGAGUCCUCACUGUGGCCCUGCAAGUCACCACAAGUGGCCACAUCUCACAGCUGGGGCGGCAGGGGCUGGGGCAUCCCAGGGGGUCCCCGAGCCCUGUCAGCGGGGUUAAAGGCCCUUCCACUGUGGUGUGGUCCCCUGCCGUAUCAGGAGCCCUUCCUUUUCUGCAAGGCUUUUCUUCUUCUGAUUACAAAAUAGCCUCUGUGGUAGCGGAGAGUUAGUGAAAUAAAGAAAAGCAGAGAAGAAAAUAAUCUCCUGCA